The sequence is a transfer RNA, 73 nucleotides long. It matches the Rfam family "tRNA". Rfam says of the family: Transfer RNA (tRNA) molecules are approximately 80 nucleotides in length. Their secondary structure includes four short double-helical elements and three loops (D, anti-codon, and T loops). The record is from Rfam.
GCCCCGAUAGCUCAAUUGGGAGAGCGUACGACUGAAGUUCGUAAGGUCACCCGUUCGAUCCGGGUUCGGGGCA